Molecule: ribosomal RNA, 68 nt
Filed under: Moduza lymire
Lineage: Eukaryota; Metazoa; Arthropoda; Insecta; Lepidoptera; Nymphalidae
Description: partial 5.8S ribosomal RNA
Source: RNAcentral
CAUMKACAUUUYGAACGCACAUUGCGGUCCGUGGAGAAACAUCCAGGACCACUCCUGUCCGAGGGCCG